Molecule: long non-coding RNA, 2147 nt
Filed under: Monodelphis domestica (gray short-tailed opossum)
Lineage: Eukaryota; Metazoa; Chordata; Mammalia; Didelphimorphia; Didelphidae
Description: lncRNA (ENSMODG00000027920.2)
Source: RNAcentral
UUUUAGUAGGCUGUUCAAUAUGAAUUAAUAUGGUAGCCAACAAAAUGAAUAUGGUGUUAGGCUAUAAUAGGAAUAUGUAAAUUAUAUUGACAACUAUCCUGAUAUGUGUGGAGAAUAGAGAAAUUAUAAGAAAAUGCUGCAAGACAAGAAGCUGGAGAUUGAUCAUUUGUCAGUCAAAUGAAGAUUCCAUUUGGAAUGUGACUGGGAAACAGUUGGAGGCAAGAGCCAACUGUUUGAGUGCAUUCAAGGCUUUUGGUUGGCUGGCUGAGGUGAAGGAAGAAGCUAGUUUUAUCUCUGGGGCUUGAGAUAAUCAAGUUGGAGGUGGCCUGGCUGAUUUGAAGGCUGAAGAAGGACAAUUGUUCUUAUAUCUCUCUGACAGGUUCUGUUUCAUGUUAGUGACUGAAUUGCCAUUUCUCUCAAUAUCUGCCAAACUAACACUCACUGUAGAGAAUAGGGAUAUCCUACCCCUCUAACCUUAUCCUCCACCAUUGUCCUUGUCUUCCCCAAAUAAACCCCUUGUUUGACAAAGAAGAUUAAGAACUGUUUCAUUGAAACCUCACAGCUCACACUGAGUGACCUGAAGGAGACUGAAGAAGGGGGGAGGGGAGGCUGAAAGGCUUCUGAAGAGGGAGGAAAACAGGAGGAGGUUAGGCAAAAAGAAGAUAACUAUCUGAUCCAUUAGUUAUCUAGUAUCCAAUCAAUAUACACCCUCAGAAAUAUCAUCUAUUACAGAUUCUAGGAGAAAGAAAGAAAGGAAGGAAGGAAGAAAGAAGGAAAGAAGGAAAGAAGAAAAGAAAGAAAGAAAGAAAGAAAGAAAGAAAGAAAGAAAGAAAGAAAGAAGAAAGAAGGAAGGAAGGAAAGAAGGAAAGAAAGAAAGAAAGAAGAAAGAAAGAAAGAAAGAAAAGGAAGAAGGGAGGAAGGAAGGAAGGAAGGAAGGAAGGAAGGAAGGAAGGAAGGAAGGAAGGAAGGAAGUAAGGAAGGAAGGAAGGAAGGAAGGAAGGAAGAUCUAAGUUCAAAUCUCAGUUUUACUACUUGUUACUUGUGUGACUAUGGGUUCAGGAAUCUGAAGCUGUUCAGUGAUUCACCGAGGGUCACACGUUUCUGUUGUGGCUAUAUGAUUUCUGGAUUACCUUCAUGCUACAAGUAAGAAAACAGAUGAUCGUGAUGACCACUUGCUACAGACUUGUGACUAUCAAAUGGCAAGGUUAGGACACAAACCCAGCAAAAAACCAGUCUCUUUCCAGGAUACCAGCAACUUCUCAUGCCCCUCCACCACGUCUAUUAGUAUUUUCAUAAACUGAAACUGAACUGGAGUGACUCAAAUGACCUCUUGUCUCCAUAUAUUUAUAAAGCACCUGCUGUUUGUAUAGCAUUCUAAGAGGCUUUGAAUAGGGCUUUGUUUAUCAAAUGACCACAACUUAAAAUAUAGUAAUGGCAGGCUCUUGAGUAGGAAUGGAGUUCAUCCAACAAAGAAUGGUAAAAAUGUAACUGGAGUGAAAAGUGAUUUAAGGUCAAAAUGAAACGGGUAGACCUACAGCUGUCUAUAUGCAUCUACCAAGUUGGAUGUCCUCAUAACAAUGAUGGUGACAAGGAGUGAAUCGGUGAUUUCACCAGCACAUUUUAUGCAAUUUAUGGUCUUAAAGAGUUGCCUAGGACACUAAAGUGUCCAAUGUUACAAGGCCAAUAUAUAUCAGAGCCAGGUUCAAUACUCCAACCACUGUACCACCUAGCCAGUGUUGUACAUUUUUAUCAGUGACUUUGAUCAGAGAAUAGAUGACAUUGUAAGAGGGAAAAUGGGUUUAAUUUUUAAAGGGUUGGGCUUGAAUAUUUAAGAGGGGUCACCAGGAAUUUAAUUGAUUCCAAAGAGAUUUAUUUACAAAAUAUAGAAAAAAUGAAGAGGAAAAUCAGAGAGAGGAUAGGGUAAGAUAUCUAGCUGAGGCACUAAGUCAUUUACUCCUGGCCCCUCCAGGCAGGGAGAAUUAGUUUCAGCCACCCUCAGCAAAGCUGAGGACCUAGGAAGUUUCUCUCAAGAGGACAGGUCUUUCCUGAGGCUGUUUUCUUCAGAGAAAAGCCAGCAGUUGAGUUAGCUUUUUUCACUCACCAUGUGUCAGUCCAGCCAGCAGAUCCUUUUGCCUCUCUUUACCAGC